Molecule: ribosomal RNA, 301 nt
Filed under: uncultured bacterium
Lineage: Bacteria
Description: partial 16S ribosomal RNA
Rfam family: Bacterial small subunit ribosomal RNA
Source: RNAcentral
CAGUCGCCGCGGUAAUACAGAGGGUGCAAGCGUUAAUCGGAAUUACUGGGCGUAAAGCGCGCGUAGGUGGUUAGUUAAGUUGGAUGUGAAAUCCCCGGGCUCAACCUGGGAACUGCAUUCAAAACUGACUGACUAGAGUAUGGUAGAGGGUGGUGGAAUUUCCUGUGUAGCGGUGAAAUGCGUAGAUAUAGGAAGGAACACCAGUGGCGAAGGCGACCACCUGGACUGAUACUGACACUGAGGUGCGAAAGCGUGGGGAGCAAACAGGAUUAGAUACCCGCGUAGUCCCUGUCUCUUAUAC